AUGCACGGUCCAGACUGAGCAGGUUUUAAGAAAGGCUUCUAAUUAUUUAAAGGCAGAAGCUUAUCCCAUGGACAAAAAUGUGUUUUUUAAAGACAACUACAAUUGGAGAUUUCAGGGAAGUAAAAAGAAUAGUAAAUGAGAGGGGAAUAAAGACAUCCUGGAAAUAAAAAGAUUUUGAAUGUAAUAUUGUAAGUCACUCAGGUGGAAUUUAAGGCAGAGAACGACGCUCAUUCCUUCCAACAAGCCACAGGCUAGGUUCCUCUGUGUUGACUGUCGUAGGGGGCAGGGGUUACGUAGAGAACCUCGAUGUACCUUGCUGUCUGUUCAGGUGGUGUCAUCCCUUCCUGAAAUGCCCCAUCUCCACUGUGGUCUCUUAAUUUCCUGUGCAGUUACGCAGAUGUCCGGGUGGAAAGGAGGCAGGAGCUGGCUCUGGAAGACCCACCAUCCGAGGCCCUCCACUCCUCAGCACUAAAGGACAAGGGCUCAAGCCUGGAACCUCGGCAGCACUUUAACGCACUCGACGUGGGUGCCUCGGGCCUUAAUACCAGUCAUUCGCCAUCGGCGUCCUCAAGAAGUUCCCACAAAUCCUCGCACACAGCCAUGUCAGAACCCACCUCCACUCCCACCAAGCUGAUGGCAGAGGCCAGCACCCCGGCUUUGCCAAGAUCAGCCACCCUGCCCCAAGAGUUACCUGUCCCCGGGCUCAGCCAGGCAGCCACCAUGCCGGCCCCUCUGCCUUCCCCAUCGUCCUGCGACCUCACACAGCAGCUCCUGCCUCAGACCAUUCUGCAGAGCACACCCGCUCCCAUGGCACAGUUUUCGGCACAGUUCAGUAUGUUCCAGACCAUCAAAGACCAGCUAGAGCAGCGGACGCGGAUCCUGCAGGCCAAUAUCCGGUGGCAACAGGAAGAGCUCCACAAGAUCCAGGAGCAGCUCUGCCUGGUCCAGGACUCCAACGUCCAGGUGAUCCCCUUCCCGGGCUGGCCUCUGUCCCUGCUGCUGUGUGGGAAGGGGUCCUGCCGCCAUUUCCAGGCAGCCAGGACUUCCUCCCAAGCCCUGCGCACUGCCCUGCCAAGCCCCAUUUGCUUAUGAAAGCAUAUUGCAGUCUCUGCAAAGGACAAGGAACAAAUCCCGGUCCUCAUCCCUGCCUCCAGGCCACACCCCUGAUGUCCUCUUCCCUCACCCCUCACUCUGGCAGGCACAUCUGCUCGCUGCCUCCACCUACGUUUGCACUUGUGCACUUGGCGUUGGAUUGCCCUGCAUGGAUGCCUGCCUCGGUCCUGGGUAGUACCUCCCUGCACCUCUAUAACUUCGCUUUCCUAGCUCCCAGCCCAGGCUGCCAUCAGGAGGAGAUGGAAGCAGCUCUGUUGUUUCUCAUCCAAUGCAGGCAUCCAGGGAGAUGUGGGAAAUGAUGAUAUCCGUAUCACAGCCUACUGGAGACUGCAGAGGGAGCUGGGUGGCACCCCAUUUGUGGUGUGCCAGCAGGGAGGCUCUGCAAGGCCCAGCAGCAGCAGCUCUCACUGUGACCCCCAGAUAUUAGAAUUGUUUGGAGAGGUGUUGUUUUGUUUUGUUUUUUGUUUUGUUUUGUUUUGGAGGAAAACCUUUCUAUAUUGGAUCUCUUUUAAUAAUAUAUAAUGUUUUACUUAUAUUAGUCCAGGACUGUGUAUCUUCAGAAGUGCCUGAUUCUGACCUAGCCUUUGAUUGUAAAUGUAACUCUAGCUAACCUUGGCGUCUGCCCUGGGAGCACUAAGCAUUUGGAGACCCUUAGAAGGGACAGAAAGAAGCAGAUAUAACAUCUCUGCCGGAGCACUGUCCCUGUUGCUUCCCCCAUCACCAUCUACGCAGACCCUCCCCUGGCCACACAGCUUCUGAAGUGCAGCCACACCUACCAUAGGUGACAGGCGGGUUCUGUCGAGGCACAGCGCCGUGAGCCGGUGCACGCUGAGAUUAAUACACAGUGGUGCAGGUGUCUGGGGGCUUAGGGAGAUGCUCAUUUGGCCAUCCUGCCUCGCUGAGGUCCCAGCAGCUCCGCCUGGACCUCAGGGGCACUCCUGGUGGCUUUCUAGAUGCUCACUGUCCCUCCCCUUCCUGCCCCUGCACAGGCCUCUCAGAGGUGGCUACUCACCUUAAAGAGAAGAGCCCUGCCCUGGACAGGCCACCUCCCCACCUGCUCCCCUCAAGACACGGCGUGUGCGCCUUGAGCAGGCUUCACUCAGACAGCCUGGGCCAUGCCAGAGCCCUGCUACUCUCCCCACCUCCUCAGUGCACCCUUAAAUUGACCAGGAAAAGGCUCGGCCUUCUCGAGCUGCCAUUCCACCUUUUACCAGAAUAGGUAAAAAAUGGCUUUUUAGUUACGCCUUCCCAGCUGGAAUAUUUUUCUCACUGAUCCAGGGCCUGACUGGGAGCCCAACGCUUGCCUGACUCCAAUUACUUUAAUGGAAUUUUUACACUAACAGGAAGGGGGAAAUCGAGCCAGAAACUGCUAAAAUUGAGGUAGGCGUAUGAACAUCCCCCUCAGUGCCUGGAGUUUUUCUACUUCCUGCCUUUUCUGAAUUUUAAAAUAACAGGCAGCAAGGUUAUCGCUUUCACUCCUGUUAUAACAAAGUAUUUUUCCUCCUUGUGACCCGUGCCUUUGGUUAACCCCAAAGUACCUAUGCCAUAGUGCACCGAGGGAUGUUCUGAGCCGGCCGGCAUGGGAAUUGCACCCUCCGGUGCCUUCCUGCCCUGUGUUCAUUCCUGAGGCCUUAUCUUUGCAGUGGAAUUUUCCAGAGAUCAUGGAAAUCCACAGAUAGUCGAGACAGAGGACAUUUCCUCAAGGAGUCUGCCUUGUUUUUUUGUUAAGACUUAAAGAAAUAUGUUCCAAAAUGUGAUAUUUGUUUUUUUUAAACUAAACUGUGUGAUUCAAGUGUGAAGAAUAAGCAAGUACAAAUGACUCCAGCCCACCCCCAAAAGUAGAGGGAUAGAUAAAAUAAGAAUGACAAAACAUUGAUGAUUGUUGAAGCCUAAUGAUGAUACCAAGGUUUCAUUGUAUUACUUGUCUAUUUUGUAUACUUCUAAAAUGUCCUGUAAUGACAAGUAUUUGUAGAACUAAGCAGAUACCACUAAUGAAAAAUCAUCUGUGAGUGUAGGAUUGGUUUGUUCUUGAAAAUUAGAAGUUGUUGGUUUGUUUUCUCUGAUAACUUUUCCCACUUGGAGAACUUUUUUUUUUUUUUUUAUGUUUUCUAUAAAGUUGACCUCAGAGCCCUUUCAAGUCACCAUCUCCUUAAGCCACAAAAUUCUACUUUAUUGUUGAUAAACAGAAGUAUGGCUGUGCCCAGCAGCAAACCAGGAACCAGUCCCCCACCCAGUGGCCUUUAUCCCAACUUCAGUGGACUUGUGAUGCUUUACUUCAUUGCUUCAAAACUUUCAUCAAGGCUAUAUGUGCCUGUGAUGCUUGCUAUUUUUUUUUUUUUCAAAAAAAAUGUUGGGUUAUGAGGAAGAAGUCCUGAAGGGCUGUUGGUGUUUGCACCUGGAUGGGAUCAUGAAUGGGGCUACCUGGACAAGAGCUGUUGUGCUGAAAGGCCCAUCGCCCCCUCCAAGGCUGCCUCUUGCUCUUUUUGAGAGCAUGCGCGCCCUCUGCUGGCUGCUUAAAGGAAUGCCUAGAAGGACACCUGUAGCAGUGGCAAAUGAUGUGUUCCUCAACUGGUUCAUCCAUCCAUCCAUCCUUCCUUCCAUCCAGCCAUCAUCUAUCCAUCCUUCCAUCCAUCCUUCCUUCCAUCCAGCCAUCAUCUAUCCUUCCUUCCAUCCAGCCACCAUCUAUCCAUCCUUCCAUCCAUCCUUCCAUCCAUCCUUCCUUCCAUCCAUCCUUCCUUCCAUCCAUCCUUUAAUCCAUCCAUCCAUCUGACAGACACCCUUUAUUUAUCAGGCACGUGGUUAAGCACUGUGAGGAUACAGAAAGAUAAACAGGACAGGGUUUCUACUGUCAGAGGAUAUACAUCGAUGGGACAGAGUAGCACACCUUGCUGUUACAGUCUGUUACAUAAAUAACACUAGCAGACAUAAUUUGCCCUUCUCUGAGUGAAAGCACCAUUCAUAUGUUUAUUCAUUCAUACAUGCAUUUAUUCCAUUCAUUCAUUUAUCAAACAGUUUUUAUAUGCCCAAAGAGGCAAAGGAGGAAAAAGCUCCUUUUUUCAUUUUGAAUGUUGCUAUUAUCUGACAUUCAUUCAGUACUUACUAUGUCUCAGGUCAUUUAUAUGCAUUAACUUCAUUUAGUCCUUAAUAAGAUGUAUGCUCUUAAUGUCACUAUUUUUUUAAUGUCACUAUUUUUUACUAAUGAGGAAACUAAGGCUUUGAAAAGUUAUUAAAAUUGCCCAAGGCCAUAACGCUAGUAAAUGGUAGGGUGGGAAUUUGAGCUAAGGUAGGUCUGCUUUAAGGUAAAUUAUACUGCCUCUCAUCAAUAAAGGUUGGAUUUAUUCGAACUCUAAUCAAAAAGUAAAUUGUGCCCUACCAGAAAAACGCAUGGUAAAUGGGUUUGACUACUAGGUUUUUGCUGAAGUGAUGAAGUAUAGGUUGCCCUAUGUGCUGUAAACGAGCUGUAUUUUAAUAGGGAGCUGGGAUUGCAUGAAACAUGAAUCCUCAACAUGUGUAAAAUGAUGGAUACCCAGAAAAUUCUUCUUAAUUUCUAAAGUGACAAGGAGUCCUCAUUUCAAAACUGCAGGCUUCUCUGUGGUGGGUGGGGCAUGAGAGGAGUUUGGGGAGGUCCCGUGGGAUGGUAGAAAGAUCAGAAUCCAGCCCCAGCUCAGCCACCUGCCCAUCUCGGGCCUCUGGUAAGUGGCUCGACCCCACCCAUGAAGCAGACACUUGAGCGAACUGAUCCGUAAGUCUCCCCAGCAUGCCUGCAUGGUGGGAUCCUCGCCUGCCUCUCCAAACCUGCGCUGACACUCAGCAGAUGUCAGCCUGUCGGUCCUGUACUGCAUAUGAGGUGGGACUGCACUGAGUACAGGAAUGGGGUGAAAAACGUCAGAUGUGGGGAGCCAGAGAUCCUUCCCCCUAAAGAAUUCCAAGCUAAGGGCCUGAUGGACUGGAACAGUGCAUGUUGAGAAUCAUGAUAGACAUAGUGCCAUCUGAUGUUUUUAAUACCCAAGAGGUACUUUUGUUUAAAAAGCCAGUUUCAGGUCUGUCAUUAAAUUAUUAUUAAAAUUACAGAAGCUGUGUUUCUUAAAACUUCAGAGUCAACUGACAGAUUCUAUUUUAUUUAGGAAUCUACUGAUUUGGUCUAAAAAGAGCAAUGCUCUAACUAGAUUUUUAUUUAUGUUCAAUUAGUUAAUAGGUUGAUUGUAAAUAAUCAGCAUUAUCUACCAAAGCUAUUCAUUUACACAUUUAAUUUAUCUGAAUCUUUCAAGCAUUUUAUGUACCUAACAAGGCAGACUUAUAAAGCUAAGAAGUAAAAUCUUUCUAAGCACCUAAACAACUGUUUUAUUUAUUUAUUCAUUUUUGAGACAGAGUCACCCGGUUGCCCAGGCUGGAGUGCAGUGGCACGAUCUCAGCUCACUGCAACCUCCGCCUCCCAGGUUCAAGCGAUUCCCCUGCCUCAGCCUCCCGAAUAACUGGGAUUACAGGCGUGCGCCACCACGCCUGGCUAAUUUUUGUAUUUUUAGUAGAGACGGGGUUUCACCAUAUUGGUCAGGCUGGUCUCAAGCUCCUGGCCUCAAGCGAUCUGCCCUCCUUGGCCUCCCAAAGUGCUGUAAUACAGGUGUUAGCCACAGCGCCCAGCGUAAACAACUGUUUUAAAUCAAAUACACCAAACUUAUUUGAACUAAAUCAGGAUUCUCAAGAACACCUCAAAUUCUCUUAAAUCUUUCAAAUUAAAACCACCAAGCUAAUAUACCGUGGCCUUUUCAAUGUCUCUGAGACAUCUCAGGUAACAAAACCCAGAGAUGAUCAUGAUGAUUACAAAACUCGAACAUAAUUUUAAAGUGCAUGGACUCGAUGUUAUGUGAUCAUAUCCAUGCUUAUUGGCCUGCCCGGGAAUGUGGUUCCUUAAUUAAUGAGAGAUCUGCCAUCUCAGCUGAGAGCACUGGGUUGAAGAUUCUCAACAGCAACGUGGGUACAGACACUAGUCACUGGUCAGAGAUUCAAGGGCAAACACAGAGCCUGGUCCUACCACGAGGGCAAUGUGGCCCACGCCACAGGUGAGCCAUCCCUCUGCCCCUAUAUCAUGAUGCAGUAGUAUCAUGACUGCAUCAUGCAUUCCACUCAACAGGUAUUUCUCCCUUCUAGGAAGAAGCUGGUAAGCCAACCUCAACUCUAAACAAGUACAUCACAUUAUUUAGAGAACAUCUGGGUCUAAACAGCUUUCACAUUGUUAGGCCUCAGUCACUUGCCUAUAACCUUCAUGAAGGCAGAGAGAGUGUCUCUCCAGCCCAUGGCUCUGUGGCCAGUGCCUUACACUGAGCUUGGGGCAUCACAGGUGCUUCAUGUUCACCAGUGGAGUAAAUGAACUAUUUCUAGGCAGCUCAGAGCAAGGAAGUUCUUACUGGGCACAGGGAAUGCAAAGGAGGUGCACACUGGUAAGGUACCCAUGACCCCAACUUCACAGGCAUUUCUGUUCUGCUCCCAGAUGUUCCUGCAGCAGCCAGCUGUAUCCCUGAGCUUCAGCAGCACCCAGCGACCUGAGGCUCAGCAGCAGCUACAGCAAAGGUCAGCUGCAGUGACUCAGCCCCAGCUCGGGGCGGGCCCCCAACUUCCAGGGCAGAUCUCCUCUGCCCAGGUCACAAGCCAGCACCUGCUCAGAGAAUCAAGUGUGAUAUCAACCCAGGGUCCAAAGCCAAUGAGAAGCUCACAGCUAAUGCAGAGCAGCGGCCGCUCUGGAAGCAGCCUAGUGUCCCCGUUCAGCAGCGCCACCGCUGUGCUCCCGCCAAGUCUGAAUCUGACCACACCUGCUUCCACCUCCCAGGAUGCCAGCCAGUGCCAGCCCAGCCCAGACUUCAGCCAUGAUCGGCAGCUCAGGCUGUUGCUGAGCCAACCCAUCCAGCCCAUGAUGCCCGGGUCCUGUGACGCAAGGCAGCCCUCGGAGGUCAGCAGGACGGGACGGCAAGUCAAGUACGCACAGAGCCAGACCGUGUUUCAAAAUCCAGAUGCACACCCCGCCAACAGCAGCAGCGCCCCGAUGCCCGUCCUGCUGAUGGGGCAGGCGGUGCUCCACCCCAGCUUCCCCGCCUCCCAGCCAUCGCCCCUGCAGCCUGCACAGGCCCGGCAGCAGCCACAGCAGCACUACCUGCAGGUACAGGCACCAACCUCUUUGCACAGUGAGCAGCAGGACUCGCUACUUCUCUCCACCUACUCACAACAGCCAGGGACCCUGGGCUACCCCCAACCACCCCCAGCACAGCCCCAGCCCCUGCGUCCUCCCCGAAGGGUCAGCAGUCUGUCUGAGUCGUCAGGCCUCCAGCAGCCGCCCCGAUAGUGCCCCGGCACUGAAGUCGGGACACAAUCAGCUUUAAGCAAUGGAUGAGGGGGGUGGCCACAGGAGAUGGGGAGAGGAGCCUGAACUAAACCCCUGGCUUUUGUGCACACUGCAUACGUUUCAGAACUCCUGGAUGGUAACCAUCUCUGGAGUGCAGCGCUUGCUGCAGUGGAAAUGAUCAGGAAUACUGACCGUGUUUCUCUUGCCUCCGAGGUUCUUGGGCACACUCUAUAGCCAUACUGGACAGGAACCAGGUGCCCCGUGUAGGCAUCGUUGGUCGGUUUACCGUCAGAGAUGGCGCAUCUCGCUGCAUCCCCCGAGAGUACACCGGUUGCUCUAGCCACCUGCGGCCCGCCCAUCUGCGCUAGCUGGCCUUCAUGCUCUUGAUCGUCUUUCCUUUGUAUUGGAGAAGGACUGGGUCAGAGAUCUGUUGGAGAGAGAGAAUAAAGAGAUUAUUUUUCAUUAUUUUUAAA
RNAcentral lists this small RNA (7917 nucleotides) under Pongo abelii (Sumatran orangutan). Its description in RNAcentral is "retained intron". Lineage: Eukaryota; Metazoa; Chordata; Mammalia; Primates; Hominidae. The record is from RNAcentral.